AGAGUUUGAUCCUGGCUCAGGAUGAACGCUAGCGGGUGGCUUAACACAUGCAAGUCGAGGGGCAACAGGUUGUAGCAAUACAAUGCUGGCGACCGGCGCACGGGUGCGUAACGCGUAUGCAACUUACCUUUAACUGGAAGAUAUCCCAAAGAAAUUUUGAUUAAUACUCCAUAACAUCACGAGAUCUCAUGUUUUUGUGAUUAAAGCUCCGGCGGUUAAAGAUAGGCAUGCGUCUGAUUAGCUAGUUGGUGAGGUUACGGCUCACCAAGGCGACGAUCAGUAGGGGGCCUGAGAGGGUGAACCCCCACACUGGUACUGAGACACGGACCAGACUCCUACGGGAGGCAGCAGUGAGGAAUAUUGGUCAAUGGAGGCAACUCUGAACCAGCCAUCCCGCGUGAAGGAUGAAUGCCCUAGUGGUUGUAAACUUCUUUUAUAUGGGAAUAAACCUGGGUACGUGUACCCAGCUGAAGGUACCAUAUGAAUAAGGACCGGCUAACUCCGUGCCAGCAGCCGCGGUAAUACGGAGGGUCCGAGCGUUAUCCGGAUUUAUUGGGUUUAAAGGGUCCGCAAGCGGACUAUUAAGUCAGUGGUGAAAGCCUGCAGCUUAACUGUAGAACUGCCAUUGAUACUGAUAGUCUUGAGUGUGGUUGAUGUGGGCGGAAUAUGACAUGUAGCGGUGAAAUGCAUAGAGAUGUCAUAGAACACCGAUUGCGAAGGCAGCUCACAAAGCCAUUACUGACGCUCAGGGACGAAAGCGUGGGGAGCAAACAGGAUUAGAUACCCUGGUAGUCCACGCAGUAAACGAUGAUUACUCGAUGUCGGCGAUAUACUGUCGGUGUCUAAGCGAAAGUGUUAAGUAAUCCACCUGGGGAGUACGUUCGCAAGAAUGAAACUCAAAGGAAUUGACGGGGUCCCGCACAAGCGGUGGAGCAUGUGGUUUAAUUCGAUGAUACGCGAGGAACCUUACCUGGGCUUAAAUGUAGUUUGACCGAUCUAGAAACAGGUCUUUCGCAAGACAAAUUACAAGGUGCUGCAUGGCUGUCGUCAGCUCGUGCUGUGAGGUGUCGGGUUAAGUCCCAUAACGAGCGCAACCCCUAUCUUUAGUUGCCAGCGAGUAAUGUCGGGGACUCUAAAGAGACUGCCGGUGCAAACCGUGAGGAAGGUGGGGAUGACGUCAAGUCAGCACGGCCCUUACGUCCAGGGCUACACACGUGCUACAAUGGCAAGUACAGAGGGCAGCUACACCGCGAGGUGAUGCGAAUCUUCAAAGCUUGUCUCAGUUCGGAUCGAAGUCUGAAACUCGACUUCGUGAAGCUGGAAUCGCUAGUAAUCGGAUAUCAGCAAUGAUCCGGUGAAUACGUUCCCGGGCCUUGUACACACCGCCCGUCAAGCCAUGGAAUCUGGGGGUGCCUGAAGUCGGUAACCGCAAGGAGCCGCCUAGGGUAAAACCGGUAACUAGGGCUAAGUCGUAACAAGGUAGCCGUACCGGGGGGUGCGGCUG
Molecule: ribosomal RNA, 1504 nt
Filed under: metagenome
Description: bacterial SSU rRNA
Rfam family: Bacterial small subunit ribosomal RNA
Source: RNAcentral